GUAGGUGAACCUGCGGAAGGAUCAUUCACGUAUCCAACGUUAAACCCCCCUGUGAACUUUCAGCCUGCCCUUGUCUUGUAGGGUUAAGCAGGGAGAAACAGUUCUGAUUCGAGACCUCUGCAUCCUGUGGGUGAUUGAAGCGGUAGAAGCAGUGGCAUGGCGUCCCAAGCCUCCAGUGAAUGACAGCGUCACUGGAACAAGUGAGGGAUAACGCUUAUUCGGUUGCUAGAGGUCGCUCACCGACCGGCAGACAUGUCACAGGGCCUUGCGCCCCCUAAAUACCCCUUUGCCAAUGCACCAGCCCGGGGCGAAAGUCCGAGGCAUUAAAACCGAACAACUGUUAACAAUGGAUAUCUUGGUUCUC
RNAcentral lists this unclassified non-coding RNA (364 nucleotides) under rhizosphere metagenome. Its description in RNAcentral is "partial ribosomal RNA internal transcribed spacer region". The record is from RNAcentral.